Molecule: ribosomal RNA, 253 nt
Filed under: uncultured bacterium
Lineage: Bacteria
Description: partial 16S ribosomal RNA
Rfam family: Bacterial small subunit ribosomal RNA
Source: RNAcentral
UACGGAGGGUGCAAGCGUUGUCCGGAAUCACUGGGUUUAAAGGGUGCGUAGGCGGCAUGAUAAGUCAGGGGUGAAAGCCUGCAGCUCAACUGUAGAAUCGCCUUUGAUACUGUUAUGCUUGAAUUAGGUUGAGGUCGGCGGAAUGUGACAUGUAGCGGUGAAAUGCAUAGAUAUGUCAUAGAACACCAAUUGCGAAGGCAGCUGGCUAGACCUGAAUUGACGCUGAGGCACGAAAGCGUGGGGAGCGAACAGG